RNAcentral lists this long non-coding RNA (291 nucleotides) under Linum usitatissimum (flax). RNAcentral's name for it is "long non-coding RNA (LUSI_LNC002767)". Lineage: Eukaryota; Viridiplantae; Streptophyta; Magnoliopsida; Malpighiales; Linaceae. The record is from RNAcentral.
CAAAAACAAUGAGGUUUUUUUUGUCUGAAAAAUCGGCUUAACUAUAUUUAUUUUUUUGUUUUUUUUUCCUUUCCCUGCGCUUAAGGCUUCUAUUUUCUCCCAAUGCCUAGGGUUUUGUUCUCCUUUUGGUGAAGAUUUAACAACAUUACCGCCGCCACCAUCACGCCUAACCUAAACUCCACCCUCGCCAAGCUCAACCAACCAUCCUCAAAAGCCACAGAAGUCGUCGCAGCUAGGGCUACAACCGAAACCUCCAAAACGGCGGAAACGAGCUCAAGAAAGUGGUCUCAG